This is a long non-coding RNA of Apus apus (common swift), 3177 nucleotides long. RefSeq lists it as uncharacterized. Lineage: Eukaryota; Metazoa; Chordata; Aves; Apodiformes; Apodidae. The transcript is spliced from 5 exons. The record is from RefSeq and is a predicted model, not a curated record.
GGUCUGCCUGGGGUGGGAACCGUUUGUGGCACCAGGGAACAGGCCCGAACGGGUCCUGCAGCGGGGCGCAGGUUAUCGGCGCUCUGGCAAGAACGGGUGACCUAAGCAAGCAGGCACCCCCAUAGCAAGGUGAGUAACGGUUUAUAUUCCCUAUUCCCCUUAUAUUCCUAGAAUCACAGAAUCCUAGGGAUUGGAAGGGACCUCAAAAGAUCAUCUAGUCCAACCCCCCUGCCAGAGCAGGGUCACCUAGAGCACAUCACACAGGAACGUGUCCAGGUGUCAUCCUGCCCCGAGGAGCAAGAUGGAAGUGGCUUUGUUGGGUCUGGUCUUGGCCAUGAAUCCUGCUCCAUGUUCAGGUGACUCCAGGUGUCAUUGGAAUGUGCAGAUAUCUCACUUCUCUUCACCAAACUAUUAUAUUCCUAACACAUAGGAAUCCAGAGACGUUGGUAAAGCGUAGAUCCCAGCAAACCUCACUGGGAAUGGGAAAGGCUCAGUGAAGAGUCCUCCACUGCUUUAGCACGUGCAGUAUCCCACAGGGUGCUCCACCAACGAUUCUCACACCGAUUAUUCCAGUAACCAGUUUAAUUUCUUUAGAACUAGCUGAAAAAAAAAAACUGCAUUGACUUGAACAUCGAAGUCUUGUGCCUCUGCCCUUUUUUGUGUUGGUGGAGAAGCAAGGUGUUUCCUUGGUGCCUGUUCUGAGAGCCAGACUCGGGAGAAUUGUUUUCACGUGUUCUUUGUGGUGUGUUUUCCAGCAAGGGGUAUGUUUUUUAUAUGAACAGAUGUAAGAAAUGACACACCAGCUGCUCAGAUUCCAGUCUUUUCCCUUGCCUUUAGGCACGAAGCAGCCUCUCUGGGGCGGGGAGAGGCGCGGGGCCGGGCCCGGGGCGCUGUCGGAGGCCUGGUCCCGCUCGUGCCUUCCCGGCCGGCGUGUCUGGGCCCUGGCGAGGAGAGAGUUGUGGAGGCAGAGUUGACCCUAGAAGAGGAGCUAGAGAGCACCCUGGAGGACGCAGGAUGAUCCAGCUGCUGGGACAGUGAAUGUGAUGGCACCAGCUCAAUCGGGCUGUGGGGAAAUUGGGAUAUCAGAACAGGAGGCUGAAGCAACACUGCAAAAGGGACCUUAACAAGAACGUCUAUCACGAAGAGUCAAACCAACCCAUAAAGCUCUACCAUUAAAUCCCAGCCACUAACCUAGUAACACCUCUUAUCCUAGACCUAGAACACUGCUGACUGGCUUAAAAGGAUCCUAAAACCUUACAUCUAACACUUAACGAGGAAACACUGCUUGAUGUCAAACUAACGAACCAAGAGAAUGAGGGAGGGCCUGUAACACCGAGAGGCAAAAAGCAGUUGAUAGAUGGGGAGAACCUGAGGCAGGCAGCUGGAGAGAUGGACUGUCCUGCUACAGCUCUGCCUAAUGAACGUCCUUGAAGACGCCCGCUUUCAUCUGCAACCCAAAUGUCAUCUCGAUGAGGAGAGUACUUUGGGAAGGGGAGGUCAGGCGGAGCGUGCAGGAGCGCUUGGAGGCCAGCACCUCUGGCUCGUAGUGCCUGAACUGCGGGAAUAAUUUCCAGCACUCGGCCAGCACCCUGUGAAACCAGAAGUAGGUUCUCUCCAGAUCCAGGUAGGGGCCACGGCAGAGGUCGGAGUCCGCGAUGCUGGCAGCCCCAAACCUCUGCAGCUCUUCCUCAGGGGAGUGGCGGAAGCAGAUCAGGCGCUGUCUGCAGGCGCAGCGCUGCCAAACCCCGAUUUUGUAGAAGCCCACGGGCGUCUGCUCCAGGCGGAAGGCUUGUCCGUGGGGUGCCGAGAGGGGAAUGAGCACCUUGUAGACACAGCUGCCUGUGCUGCAGCCUUCUGGGGCGUCCAGGAUGAUGGGUCGCCCCAGCCGUGGCACACAGGUGCGGUGGUACAGUUUCUGGCAGGUGUCCAGAAGUUUGCGCAGCAUGUCCUGCACCGCGGCAGGGGAGUCCAGCGAGGCCAGAGGCACCUUCUGCCAGGCUUUGCACACCAGCCUCUUCUGCGGCUUCUUGCUGGGGCUGCCCUCCUUGCUGCUGCUGCUGGCUGGCUGCCUCUUGCUGAGCCGCCCGCAGAGCAGGAGCAGGGCUGCAGCAAGGGCCCAGGACUGCCACUGCUGCAAGGCCCACCAGACAAAGCCGCUCUGCUGCUGGCUCCUCAGAUGCAGGGCCUUCUCCUGCCUCUCCACCUCCCGCAGCAGCCGAGCCAUCUCCCUCUUCAGCAUCUCCUCUCGCUCCCGCAUGCGCACGCGCGUCUCCUCAUCCAGCCCAUCACCCGCUGGCCGUGGGCCCUGGCUGAGGAUUAGGGCCCCCAGGGCAAGGAAGAGCAGGGCAGCCAUGGUCUGCAGGAGGAGGGAGAGAAGGGCUUCAGUGGGGCUGGCAGGGAGGGCCUGUGCCCCGGCGGGGGCAGCCCCGUGCCCUGCCCAAGGCGCUGCCGCCAGCAGCUGGGCCCUCGGGGCAGGGCCAGAACCCACCCCCCGGGGGCCGCCUUUCUGCCCCGGCCCUGCUCCAGCCCGGCCUCCCCCUGCCUGCGCACUCACCUGGCCAGCUAGCACUGGGGCACAGCUGCUGCUGGCCCUUUUCUAGCUGCCCUCAUUGUGAUGCCAUCGCAGCCACGCCCGCCAACCAGCCCGGCACUGACAGCCCCAAACAACAGACCCCCCCAGACAGGCAGGACGGGGCUCCCAGGGGCUCCCUUUGCAGAGCAGCCACAAGUGUCCCCGAAGCCCCCACCAAACAUCCCGUCGGCUGAGCUGAGCCUGGGCUGCUUUGUCCCUGCACAUCCCCUCCCGUCAGAUGGGACCAGCUCCCUUGGCGCUGGCCUCUCUGCUGCUGGACCAGCCGCUCUGCUCCUGCCUCCUUUCUGACACGCAGGGCCAGGUGACCAGGCCUAGGAGCAGACACUGCCUGCAGAACCUGCUGCUCCUCUCAGAAACUGCAGCUGCUUGCAAGGAACCUCACGGACAAGGAGAAUGACUGAAAAGAGCACGGGUUCUAUCCUGGCCGAAACCACGACUUUCCACCCCAUCUGAUCAAUGUAAUUGGCAUCAUGUAGUUUGCAGAUCAGGGGUCCGUCUUUCUACCUCAAGGGUCGUACAGCCUGUUGAGUUCAUUGCCUAAGCUGUAAGAUUCUGAAAACGAAAUAAAACAUGUUUUAUCUUGA